RNAcentral lists this transfer RNA (72 nucleotides) under Camelus bactrianus (Bactrian camel). It matches the Rfam family "tRNA". Rfam says of the family: Transfer RNA (tRNA) molecules are approximately 80 nucleotides in length. Their secondary structure includes four short double-helical elements and three loops (D, anti-codon, and T loops). Lineage: Eukaryota; Metazoa; Chordata; Mammalia; Artiodactyla; Camelidae. The record is from Rfam by way of RNAcentral. RNAcentral also lists the same sequence under 3 other names.
GAAGGUAUAGCUCAGUGGUAGAGUGUGUGCUUAGCAUGCAUGAGGUCCUGGAUUCAAUAUCCAGUACCUCUG